AAAGUUUAAUUUUUAAUUAAAUCUGAAAUACCAAUUAUAACUGAAAGAGAUUUUAACCUGUUUCUUUUCAGACUGCCUGAAGUUACAUUGUAGAUGCUGAAAUCACUGCACCUUAAAAACAAAAAGAUUAAGCCACACUGCAUUCCUAAGGGCUGUCCACUGCUAGAAACCUGCUACUGGAAGCAAUCUAUUCCUGCGCCCAGGAGGCUGACUGUAAAUCAGUUUGGUUUGUAGUAUCCUUUUCAAAUACACAAUAAACAUCAGAG
RNAcentral lists this long non-coding RNA (266 nucleotides) under Parus major (Great Tit). RNAcentral describes it as "lncRNA (ENSPMJG00000010910.1)". Lineage: Eukaryota; Metazoa; Chordata; Aves; Passeriformes; Paridae. The record is from RNAcentral.